RNAcentral lists this ribosomal RNA (492 nucleotides) under Pseudomonas sp. LS67(2013). Its description in RNAcentral is "bacterial SSU rRNA". It matches the Rfam family "Bacterial small subunit ribosomal RNA", at positions 100 to 588 of the family's 1533-position model. The record is from RNAcentral. Lineage: Bacteria; Pseudomonadati; Pseudomonadota; Gammaproteobacteria; Pseudomonadales; Pseudomonadaceae.
GGACGGGUGAUUAUGCCUAGGAAUCUGCCUGGUAGUGGGGGACAACGUUUCGAAAGGAACGCUAAUACCGCAUACGUCCUACGGGAGAAAGCAGGGGACCUUCGGGCCUUGCGCUAUCAGAUGAGCCUAGGUCGGAUUAGCUAGUUGGUGAGGUAAUGGCUCACCAAGGCGACGAUCCGUAACUGGUCUGAGAGGAUGAUCAGUCACACUGGAACUGAGACACGGUCCAGACUCCUACGGGAGGCAGCAGUGGGGAAUAUUGGACAAUGGGCGAAAGCCUGAUCCAGCCAUGCCGCGUGUGUGAAAAAGGUCUUCGGAUUGUAAAGCACUUUAAGUUGGGAGGAAGGGCAGUAAAUUAAUACUUUGCUGUUUUGACGUUACCGACAGAAUAAGCACCGGCUAACUCUGUGCCAGCAGCCGCGGUAAUACAGAGGGUGCAAGCGUUAAUCGGAAUUACUGGGCGUAAAGCGCGCGUUAUGUGGUUGGUUAAGU